GUGCCCGUAGCUCAUCUGGAUAGAGCAGCUGCCUUCUAAGCAGCAGGUAGGGGGUUCGAGUCCCUCCGGGCACACCA
Molecule: transfer RNA, 77 nt
Filed under: Azonexus sp.
Lineage: Bacteria; Pseudomonadati; Pseudomonadota; Betaproteobacteria; Rhodocyclales; Azonexaceae
Description: tRNA-Arg
Rfam family: tRNA
About the family: Transfer RNA (tRNA) molecules are approximately 80 nucleotides in length. Their secondary structure includes four short double-helical elements and three loops (D, anti-codon, and T loops).
Source: RNAcentral